Cyprinus carpio (common carp) is the source of this 1224-nucleotide long non-coding RNA. Lineage: Eukaryota; Metazoa; Chordata; Actinopteri; Cypriniformes; Cyprinidae. The record is from Ensembl.
GGAAGAACUUAAAUUCUUUGAAGGCAAUUCUCCAUGCAAGGGAAAAGUGCGCAUCGAGAAAUUAGAUGGUACUGAGCCUGACUGGCUGCCUGCAAAACCAGUGGAAGAGAAUAAGAAAAAAGCCACUGACAUAUGCAGUGCAAUGCAGUGUGGAUCUCUGGUCUCCUUUGAAACAGAGCAAAACACCGAAUAUGCCAAAGUCACAUGUUCAGGGUCAAAGAGAGUGGAGCCUCGAGUGGCACUUCAAAACCCGUUUGGAGAAAAAUGCUGGGGAAUGGUGAAGGUCUGCGGAGAUGGCAAGUGUGGAGGGGUUUGCAGCAACACUUGGAGAACAAAUGAAGACUCCAAAAUGAUCUGUGAGAACCUGGAGUGUGGAAAUCCAAUUCGGGCCCAGUUACCACUUCAGAUAAAUAAUCUACCUGCCACUUACCGUAGUGUGUACUGCUCAGAAAAAGUACAAAAUAUGAACAUGUGCAAUUUUAUUCCCAAUGAAAACUCCAUCUGUGAACCCCUAGCCCAAGUGAUAUGCACAGACAGCGUCAAAGCUAAAUUGGAGGAUCCAAGAGACAAAUGCGCUGGAAAAGCGUCACUGUUUUACGCUGGGAAGUGGACACCCAUCUGCCAAGACAGUCUUGAUACAAACCUUAAAAAUGUAAUCUGCAAGGAACUAUUUUGUGGCGAGAGCAUAAAUGACCAACAUGACUGGACUUCACAUGAAGAGUCUAAAUCCACAGGACUAUCAAGAAUUAAAUGUCCAGCUAGUGCCAACUCUGUUUCCAAAUGUGACCUCAAAGAGGUUUCAGAGAAAGAAUGUAUUGUUGGCUAUCUGAAAUGCACAGGUACUCACCUUUUUUAUUUUUGUGCAGACUUGAAGACAUUUCUCUAGUGAAGGAAAUUGUUGUGAUCUCAACUAAGUUUUCUCUUUCUUUCAGUCUGAUUUAUAUGCUUUUGAGAACAAAAGUACCAGCACUUUAGCCAAAGUUAGUUAGCGUGUUGCCAUAACAGAUGCAUAUGGACAAGGUGACUAGAUGUCUAUCUGAAUGUAAUAAUAACCAUAACAACCCAUGACUUGAGUAACAACCUGAAGUAAUCAGAAAUCAGAUUUGCUUUGCCUGUGGGUUUUCCUGAAUUGCACACAAAGAACCAAUUAUGUUAGAGAUAAAUGAUGCCAAGAAGGCUUGGUUCUCCAUUGCGGUCAGACAAGUCACCUGAGGAUAAUUGAAC